AGACUUCUAGCUUUGCGUAGUCAUACUUGCAUGAAUAUGCGUGACAUCCAUGACAGGGAAAAAUUAAGGAUGUCCUCGGUACCUCAGAUAGGCCUUCUCGUGGCAACUUUUUCCUUGAGGGGUGUGACAGGC
Loxodonta africana (African savanna elephant) is the source of this 132-nucleotide small nucleolar RNA. Ensembl annotates it as small nucleolar RNA SNORA64/SNORA10 family. Its record names the gene SNORA64. Lineage: Eukaryota; Metazoa; Chordata; Mammalia; Proboscidea; Elephantidae. The record is from Ensembl.